AUUGAACGCUGGCGGCAGGCCUAACACAUGCAAGUCGAACGGUAACAGGAAGAAGCUUGCUUCUUUGCUGACGAGUGGCGGACGGGUGAGUAAUGUCUGGGAAACUGCCUGAUGGAGGGGGAUAACUACUGGAAACGGUAGCUAAUACCGCAUAACGUCGCAAGCCCAAAAAGGGGGACCUUCGGGCCUCUUGCCAUCGGCUGUGCCCAGAUGGGAUUAGCUAGUAGGUGGGGUAACGGCUCACCUAGGCGACGAUCCCUAGCUGGUCUGAGAGGAUGACCAGCCACACUGGAACUGAGACACGGUCCAGACUCCUACGGGAGGCAGCAGUGGGGAAUAUUGCACAAUGGGCGCAAGCCUGAUGCAGCCAUGCCGCGUGUAUGAAGAAGGCCUUCGGGUUGUAAAGUACUUUCAGCGGGGAGGAAGGGAGUAAAGUUAAUACCUUUGCUCAUUGACGUUACCCGCAGAAGAAGCACCGGCUAACUACGUG
This 490-nucleotide ribosomal RNA is filed under the name uncultured bacterium. RNAcentral's name for it is "partial 16S ribosomal RNA". It matches the Rfam family "Bacterial small subunit ribosomal RNA", at positions 30 to 507 of the family's 1533-position model. The record is from RNAcentral.